This 2937-nucleotide unclassified non-coding RNA is filed under the name Hevea brasiliensis (rubber tree). Lineage: Eukaryota; Viridiplantae; Streptophyta; Magnoliopsida; Malpighiales; Euphorbiaceae. The record is from RNAcentral.
GUUUGCGUGCUCAACAAAAAUAAAGACCCCACUUGUUCAAGACUUGUCUUCCUCCUCUCCCUCUCUUUGUUUAGUUUCAGAUCUAAAACCACCAACCCAUAUCCUUGGUUCAGUCAAAACCCACCAAGAGUUCUUUCUGGGUGUGUCAUUUGAUUCUUGAUAGACAGGAAAGAAAGGGAAGCGGGAAUGGGCUUGGUGGGUGUCCAAGAAAAUGGGAAUCGGGAGAUGGAUGUGUCUUUGGGAGGGAAGAAUAAGUACAAGAGAAUGGAUUCUGAGUUCACGGAGGAUCUUGAUGAUUCGCAUCAUCAAGAUAGGAGUUCAAGUGCUAGAAAAUAUGUUCUUGCCUGUGCCAUUUUUGCCUCUCUAAACUCUGUUCUUCUUGGCUAUGGUAAAAAAUAUCUUUCCUUUUGACUUCUGAUGAAUAAAUGGUAGUGGUUGCUAUUGCUGUUGAUAGUGUCUUAACAAUUUGUUAAUUGUUUUGAUAUUAUAUUUGAUCUGCCCUUCUUUUGGAUUCCCCAUUGGCUAUUGUGCUUAGCAGUUGGAUGCUGUUUUGUUUCUUUAUUUCUUGGGAAUUCCCUGGAAUUUCUGUAUGUCUUAUGUGCCCUUUUCUUUUUGGUUAUUUUGGAUUAUCAGAAAACUUUACUUCUAAUCUUAUGGAAUUUAUUUUGAAUAUAAUCCAUUUUACUUUAGAAUGUUAGCAAAGCAACCUAGAUGUCUGAAUUAACUAUAUAGAUUUGAAAAAUGUUAAUAUUGUUGGUUUUUUUUCUUUUUUGGUUGGGUUGUGGGGUUUGGUGGUGUCUUUCCUCAUGAUUAAGUAAUGAUAAAUAAAAAUGGUUUUUGAUUGUUGGAUGAAGUGGUUAUUAGAUUUUGUAAUACGUUGAGAGGAGGAUCAGUAAAAUUGGAUAUUAGUUUGGUUAAGACACUAGGCCACCUAAUCUUCCAUCAUGAUAAUGCAAAACUAAUUUAGAAAUCACUUUGCGCUGGUUGUAUCUAAUUUUGAUCAUCUUCUGACUCUUUUCAUCUUCAAAAUCUUGAAUUAUUCCCAGGCUUAUUUUUUAAGAGUCAUUUUGGAACAAACCCCUACAGAAAUUACAUUAUUCCUGUUUUGAACCCUCUACUUGUAGUUAUAAAAUGACAUUAUGAUCUACAGAUGUAGGUGUCAUGAGUGGAGCAAUCAUAUUCAUCCAAGAAGAUCUGAACAUAACUGAAGUGCAGGAAGAAGUUCUGGUUGGGUGUUUGAGCAUUGUAUCACUUUUUGGUAGUUUAGCUGGAGGAAGAACAUCAGAUGCUAUUGGUAGAAAAUGGACAAUGGGCUUAGCUGCUGUAGUCUUUCAAAGUGGUGCAGCUAUAAUGACACUUGCUCAUUCAUUCCAAAUACUUAUGAUAGGAAGAUUUUUGGCUGGAAUUGGAAUCGGCUUCGGAGUCAUGAUUGCCCCAGUAUAUAUUGCUGAGAUUUCACCAACUGUUGCUAGAGGCUCUCUCACUUCCUUCCCCGAGAUUUUCAUAAAUCUUGGAAUUUUACUUGGUUAUGUUUCAAAUUAUGCAUUUUCAAAUCUUCCAGUGAACACAGGUUGGAGGGUAAUGCUUGCUGUCGGAAUUUUGCCCUCAGUCUUCAUUGCAGUUGCACUUUUCAUAAUCCCUGAGUCACCGAGGUGGUUGGUCAUGCAAGAUCGAGUUGAAGAAGCAAGAUUGGUGCUCUUAAAAACAAAUGAGAAUGAGAGAGAGGUGGAGGAGAGACUUGAAGAAAUACAAAAAGCUGCAGGAAAUACCAAUGGAAACAAGUAUGAAGAAAAGGCUGUGUGGCGUGAACUUCUCAGCCCUUCUCCUGCACUUCGACGGAUGUUGGUGACUGGUUUUGGAAUUCAGUGCUUCCAACAGAUCACAGGAAUUGAUGCAACUGUUUAUUACAGCCCUGAAAUCUUCAAAGGAGCUGGGAUUCAGGAUGAAACAAAGCUUCUUGCUGCAACAGUUGCUGUGGGCGUUUCAAAGACUGUUUUCAUAUUGGUUGCUAUAUUUCUAAUUGACAAACUUGGGAGAAAGCCCUUGCUCUAUCUGAGCACGAUUGGAAUGACUAUUUGUUUGUUCAGUUUGGGGGUUACGCUCACAUUUAUUGGGGAAGGACAAGUUGGGAUUGCACUGUCAAUUUUGUUCAUUUGUGCAAAUGUAGGUUUCUUUUCAGUGGGAAUUGGUCCUAUAUGCUGGGUUGUGACAACCGAAAUAUUCCCUCUAAGGCUGCGUGCUCAGGCUGGUGCACUUGGGGCAGUGGGUAAUAGGGUGUGCAGUGGUUUGGUUGCGAUGUCUUUCCUAUCUGUUGCCCGAGCAAUUUCUAUGGGUGGAACUUUCUUUAUCUUUUCAGCAAUUUCCGCACUUUCUGUUGUCUUUGUUCAUACACUUGUCCCAGAGACAAAAGGAAAGUCGUUAGAACAGAUUGAGCAGAUGUUUCAGAAUGAAGACCAAUGGCAAGGGGGUGAAGUGGAGCUGGGAGAUGUUGAGCAUCUUGUGGAGAAAGAGUGACUCGUCCUUGAUUGGAAAGGCUAAUUAAACAAGCCUUAGCUAUCCAACUUUUGCCAGUCAGAAACUAUUAUGGUUGUUGAGGCACUAUUUGCCAAUUACCUAGAUUCUCACUGGUAUUGAAUCAGCACCUGUUAGAGUUUGCAGCCUCAAGUAUCUAUGAGUUCGCAGCAAUGGAAGCAUGUUUAACAUAAAUUAAAAUUACAUUUUUUGUAAUCCAAGUGAGAUGCAUUACUGGAAUUACUUCGAUAUGUACGUUAAGAAGUUUAUUCUCAUAGGAUUGAUUCACUUGAAUUCCAUGAGGAAAUCAUAUUGAUAAGUGAACUAUAGAAUGGAAUUUUAGGCAGUGUAUUGUUGUCUGGAAUAUUGUAAGAUGAAUCUAAAUAAAGUUCACAACUCCAAAGGAGAGAAGCUGAGACAAAUUUG